RNAcentral lists this ribosomal RNA (426 nucleotides) under uncultured Actinomycetes bacterium. RNAcentral's name for it is "bacterial SSU rRNA". It matches the Rfam family "Bacterial small subunit ribosomal RNA", at positions 233 to 671 of the family's 1533-position model. The record is from RNAcentral. Lineage: Bacteria; Bacillati; Actinomycetota; Actinomycetes.
GCGGCCUAUCAGCUUGUUGGUGAGGUAAUGGCUCACCAAGGCAACGACGGGUAGCCGGCCUGAGAGGGCGACCGGCCACACUGGGACUGAGACACGGCCCAGACUCCUACGGGAGGCAGCAGUGGGGAAUAUUGGGCAAUGGAGGAAACUCUGACCCAGCGACGCCGCGUGCGGGAUGAAGGCCUUCGGGUUGUAAACCGCUUUCAGUAGGGAAGAAGCGAAAGUGACGGUACCUACAAAAGAAGCACCGGCUAACUAUGUGCCAGCAGCCGCGGUAAUACAUAGGGUGCAAGCGUUGUCCGGAAUUAUUGGGCGUAAAGAGCUCGUAGGUCGUUUGUCGCGUCGAUUGUGAAAAUCUGAGGCUCAACCUCAGACCUGCAGUCGAUACGGGCAAACUAGAGUGUGGUAGGGGAGACUGGAAUUCCU